GCGCUCAUAGCUCAGCUGGAUAGAGCAUCGGCCUUCUAAGCCGGCGGUCGGGGGUUCGAAUCCUCCUGGGCGCGCCA
RNAcentral lists this transfer RNA (77 nucleotides) under gamma proteobacterium NOR5-3. Its description in RNAcentral is "tRNA-Arg". It matches the Rfam family "tRNA". From Rfam's summary of the family: Transfer RNA (tRNA) molecules are approximately 80 nucleotides in length. Their secondary structure includes four short double-helical elements and three loops (D, anti-codon, and T loops). Lineage: Bacteria; Pseudomonadati; Pseudomonadota; Gammaproteobacteria. RNAcentral also lists the same sequence under 3 other names. The record is from RNAcentral.